This 201-nucleotide ribosomal RNA is filed under the name uncultured bacterium. Its description in RNAcentral is "partial 16S ribosomal RNA". It matches the Rfam family "Bacterial small subunit ribosomal RNA", at positions 1300 to 1500 of the family's 1533-position model. The record is from RNAcentral.
GCAGUCUGAAACUCGAGUGCAUGAAGCUGGAAUCGCUAGUAAUCGCAAAUCAGAAUGUUGCGGUGAAUACGUUCCCGGGUCUUGUACACACCGCCCGUCACACCAUGGGAGUUGGAAAUGCCCGAAGUCAGUGACCCAACUUAAGGGAGGGAGCUGCCGAAGGCAGGUUCGAUGACUGGGGUGAAGUCGUAACAAGGUAAC